UUGUUUUUUUUUAUUGUAAUGAUCAGUCUGUGAACAGUACUAAUUGAUGUUGUGAUAAGAUGUAGAGUGCGUCGCAAAUUAAAACGCACUCGUAGUCACGCUGAACUCCAAGUGCCUUCCAUGCGGUUCUGUCAACACUGAAUGGCAAACAAUAAAAUAAAGAAAUAAUUUCAAGUGUGAAA
Long non-coding RNA from Engraulis encrasicolus (European anchovy), 182 nucleotides. RefSeq lists it as uncharacterized. The transcript has 2 exons. The record is from RefSeq and is a predicted model, not a curated record. Lineage: Eukaryota; Metazoa; Chordata; Actinopteri; Clupeiformes; Engraulidae.